Molecule: ribosomal RNA, 253 nt
Filed under: uncultured bacterium
Lineage: Bacteria
Description: partial 16S ribosomal RNA
Rfam family: Bacterial small subunit ribosomal RNA
Source: RNAcentral
UACGGAGGGUCCAAGCGUUAUCCGGAAUCAUUGGGUUUAAAGGGUCCGUAGGCGGUUUUGUAAGUCAGUGGUGAAAGCCCAUCGCUCAACGGUGGAACGGCCAUUGAUACUGCAAGACUUGAAUUAUUAGGAAGUAACUAGAAUAUGUAGUGUAGCGGUGAAAUGCUUAGAUAUUACAUGGAAUACCAAUUGCGAAGGCAGGUUACUACUAAUGGAUUGACGCUGAUGGACGGAAGCGUGGGGAGCGAACAGG